This 225-nucleotide ribosomal RNA is filed under the name uncultured bacterium. Its description in RNAcentral is "partial 16S ribosomal RNA". It matches the Rfam family "Bacterial small subunit ribosomal RNA", at positions 523 to 746 of the family's 1533-position model. The record is from RNAcentral.
UAACGGAGGAUCCAAGCGUUAUCCGGAUUCAUUGGGUUUAAAGGGUGCGUAGGCGGAAUGAUAAGUCAGUGGUGAAAUCCUGCAGCUUAACUGCAGAACUGCCAUUGAUACUGUCAAUCUUGAGUAUAUUUGAUGUGGGCGGAAUGUGUCAUGUAGCGGUGAAAUGCUUAGAUAUGACACAGAACACCGAUUGCGAAGGCAGCUCACAAAAACUAUAACUGACGC